Molecule: ribosomal RNA, 407 nt
Filed under: uncultured bacterium
Lineage: Bacteria
Description: bacterial SSU rRNA
Rfam family: Bacterial small subunit ribosomal RNA
Source: RNAcentral
UGGGGAAUAUUGGGCAAUGGGCGAAAGCCUGACCCAGCAACGCCGCGUGAAGGAAGAAGGCCCUCGGGUUGUAAACUUCUUUUAUCAGGGACGAAACAAAUGACGGUACCUGAUGAAUAAGCCACGGCUAACUACGUGCCAGCAGCCGCGGUAAUACGUAGGUGGCAAGCGUUAUCCGGAUUUACUGGGUGUAAAGGGCGUGUAGGCGGGCCUGCAAGUCAGGUGUGAAAUUCCAGGGCUCAACCCUGGAACUGCACUUGAAACUGUGGGUCUUGAGUGAUGGAGAGGCAGGCGGAAUUCCGUGUGUAGCGGUGAAAUGCGUAGAUAUACGGAGGAACACCAGUGGCGAAGGCGGCCUGCUGGACAUUAACUGACGCUGAGGCGCGAAAGCGUGGGGAGCAAACAGG